CCACUUGCCAUUCGUGCGCGGAAGGAGCUUUACUUGGCCGCCAUUAGUCCUUUAUCCUGGUACGUGUGGCAUCUAUAGUCCGGUUGUAGCGUGAGGGGUGAUUUAAGCGUGAAGUAUAUCACAUAAACAGGUAUAAAGUACUAGAACUUAACAUAGCAAUGGAAAACGCUGCAAAUGAAAUGAACAUUAAGAAUGAAGAGGAACACGACCGGAAAGGUCAAAACCAUGCCGGGCAAAACAAUCAUCCCGGUGGCGGUCGUGGUGAAGGCCGGGGCAAUUUCGAUGGCCGAGGUGGUGGAUUUGGUGGUGGCAGAGGCAGAUUUGCGAAUCGUCCCAGAGACGACAACAGAGGCAGAAAUCCUGAUGAUCGACUGAAUGAACGGCUAGCUGCUCUGAUGGCUCCAACACAUGAUCUUCCACCAAUGGAUACAACAGAAAAAAAAUUCUCCGGCCGCUGCCGAUUAUAUAUAGGCAAUUUAACAGCUGAUGUUACUGACGAUGAAAUCAGGGAAAUGUUUAGCCCCUAUGGAGAAGUGGCUGAACAGUUUGUUAACAAGGAAAAGAACUUUGCUUUCAUACGCAUGGACUACCGUGCAAAUGCUGAAAAGGCAAAGAGAGAGCUUGAUGGGUCUCUACGUAAAGGCCGUUCAAUUAAAGUUAGGUUUGCACCACCUGGAGCUGCUAUAAAAGUUAAAAAUCUAACACCUUGGGUGUCAAAUGAACUUUUAGAGAAGGCAUUUUCAGUGUUUGGAGAUAUUGAAAGAGCUGUUGUCAUUGUGGAUGACAGAGGAAAGUCAAUGGAAGAAGGUAUAGUUGAAUUCGCCCGUAAGCCUGCAGCUCAGAUGGCUAUGCGCAGAUGUGCAGAAGGCUGCUUUUUCCUUACAGCGUCUUUGCGUCCUGUUGUUAUCGAACCAUAUGAACCAUUAGAUGACACGGAUGGCUAUCAGGAGAAAAAUCUGCCUAAGAAGAACCCAGAGUACUACAAGAUGAGAGAAGUGGGACCACGUUUUGCAACACCAGGAAGCUUUGAGUAUGAGUAUGGUACACGUUGGAAGCAACUGUAUGACUUGCACAAACAAAAGGAAGAUUCCUUGCGCCGUGAAAUGAAGAUGGAAGAAGAAAAACUUGAAGCUCAAAUGGAAUAUGCUCGCUAUGAACACGAGACAGAGAUGCUGCGUGAACAACUGCGGCAGCGUGAAUUAGACCGUGAACGACAGAAACAGGAGUGGGAAAUGAAGGAACGGCAGGUGGAAGAGCAGCGCCUGCAGAUGGAAGAGCGUAUGCGUCGCCAACAGGAAGAAAUGCAGCAUCGAAUGCAUCACCAAGAAGAAGAACUUCGCAGAAGACAACAAGAGAACAAUCUCUUCAUGCAGGCGCAUCAGUUAAACAGUCUCCUGGAACAGCAAGAACAGGCAUUGAGAGCCAAUCCUACAGACUAUGAUGCAGCAGCUGCCGAUCCAGUCAUUCGUGAUUAUGAUGCAGUUGGUGCUGAGGCAGGAACCAUCCCGCCGGUGAGCUAUGAAGAUCAUUGGCAGAGAUACUAUGCUGACUGUGAACACUACUAUUGAUCAGUGCAAUGAUACACAGUGAGAUAAAGGCAUUGACUGAUUUGUGGUUGAAAAUGACUGAGAAGAGCAAAGUGGUAGUGCGGCGAAUUUGGCUAGUACUGCCAAAUACCUGUUGAGAUGAUACUAGUGGCAGCAUAGGUGAUUCCACUUGUGAUACUUCUGUAACGUAAUUAAGAAGAUGCCAGAAAAUCUCAAGCUGCAUGGAAGCAUUUUGAUUUAAAGUCCUGCAGCUGAAGAAAGGCAAAACUGUUCCAGCUACGAUGAAUUAAGUUGGGGUAUCAGCAGGGAAGAUGAUUUCUGUAGCCUUGCUGUCCAGCUUGUUUUUAUACAUUAAAGAAAUGUCAUAAUAACCUU
This 1922-nucleotide unclassified non-coding RNA is filed under the name Schistocerca americana (American grasshopper). Its description in RNAcentral is "hrp65 protein-like, transcript variant X4". Lineage: Eukaryota; Metazoa; Arthropoda; Insecta; Orthoptera; Acrididae. The record is from RNAcentral.